This is a long non-coding RNA of Uloborus diversus, 484 nucleotides long. RefSeq lists it as uncharacterized. NCBI's taxonomy places the organism in Eukaryota, Metazoa, Arthropoda, Arachnida, Araneae, Uloboridae. The transcript has 3 exons. The record is from RefSeq and is a predicted model, not a curated record.
CUGGCCCAAAUCGACCUUGAAUACCCCCCGGCUGUCCGAGCGUGCCUUAUAAAUAUAUUUGGCGAAAGGAAUAUAGCGUCAUGCUCUUCAGUUGAUUUGGAAGUGAAUCAAUUUAUUGACGAUGAAAGGGUUUCUUGUUGUAACUUUAUGUGCCUUUCUGUUCUUCGCUGUAUGUUCAGCGGAAGAUAAGAAGGAGGAGCCAAAGAAAGUAGAAAAGGUGGUUUGGCCCGGAUUGUACUCCUGGAAUGUCCAGCAUCCUGUCCAGCUUAAGACAGUCCCUCUGGUGCAUCCAUUCCACUACAAUCCUGUUUAUGGUCAUGCUCCAACUUGGUGGUGGUAAAUAUCCUCAAGUUUGAAUAUGGAAACAAAAUCUGUAGCGGUUGGAAAUAGAAAAGUUCUUCGUAGGGAUAGAUAGAAAAAAAUUCAUUGUUCUUUCAACUUUGUUGUGGAUUUUUAAUAUGUUAAUAAAGUUUUUUCAGUUAAA